AGCGAACGCUGGCGGCAGGCCUAACACAUGCAAGUCGAACGAACUCUUCGGAGUUAGUGGCGGACGGGUGAGUAACACGUGGGAACGUGCCUUUUGGUUCGGAAUAACUCAGGGAAAUUGGGGUAAAAACCAAUGGGGCCUUCGGGGGAAAGAUUUAUCGCCAAUAGAGCGGCCCGCGUCUGAUUAGCUAGUUGGUGAGGUAACGGCUCACCAAGGCGACGAUCAGUAGCUGGUCUGAGAGGAUGACCAGCCACACUGGGACUGAGACACGGCCCAGACUCCUACGGGAGGCAGCAGUGGGGAAUCUUGCGCAAUGGGCGAAAGCCUGACGCAGCCAUGCCGCGUGAAUGAUGAAGGUCUUAGGAUUGUAAAAUUCUUUCACCGGGGACGAUAAUGACGGUACCCGGAGAAGAAGCCCCGGCUAACUUCGUG
RNAcentral lists this ribosomal RNA (432 nucleotides) under uncultured bacterium. RNAcentral's name for it is "partial 16S ribosomal RNA". It matches the Rfam family "Bacterial small subunit ribosomal RNA", at positions 29 to 507 of the family's 1533-position model. The record is from RNAcentral.